AACGCACAUUGCGCUCUGUUUGCGCAGAGCAUGCCUGUUUGAGAAUCUAUAGUACCAUUCCCGCUGUGCGCACAGCGAGCGGGGACUUGGGCGCUCUGCCUGCGGGUGGUCGCCUGAAAUGCAUUGCUGCCCAGCAUCGGGUGCUGACCCAGCCGGCGAAAGUAUGCGAAUGGCUCUGCCUCUGAUGUUUUCGCCGGCCGGUAGCCCGCCAGGCACCGGAGUUUUCGUGGAAAACCGAACCAUGGUCUCAAAUCAGGCAGGAAGACCCGCUGAACUUAA
This 279-nucleotide unclassified non-coding RNA is filed under the name uncultured fungus. Its description in RNAcentral is "partial contains 5.8S ribosomal RNA, internal transcribed spacer 2, and large subunit ribosomal RNA". Lineage: Eukaryota; Fungi. The record is from RNAcentral.